This 64-nucleotide transfer RNA is filed under the name Anomolachesilla palaciosi. RNAcentral describes it as "tRNA-Gly". The record is from RNAcentral. Lineage: Eukaryota; Metazoa; Arthropoda; Insecta; Psocodea; Lachesillidae.
AUUUAUUUAGUAUAAUAAAAAGUACAUUUGAUUUCCAAUCAAAAAGUCUAUUUAAGAAUAAAUA